GCAUGCGACAAGUGUCAGAAAGAGAAGCGCAAGACGAUAAACGGGGACGAUCUACUCUGGGCCAUGGCCACGUUAGGGUUUGAGGAAUACAUCGAGCCACUUAGAAUCUACCUGCAGAAAUAUAGAGAGGUGCCUUUCAUAUAAGCCUUUUACCUGUCAUUUCCCACGUUUCUUGUCAAUUUAGUUCUAAUUAUUUUUCUAUUUCUUCCCUUGUCUUCUAUUACGUUUCGCGAUGUCUGUUCGGCUACAGCUGGAGGUAAUGCUUUUAUCGCUAUUCGUUACGUGGUUGUUAUUUAUUCAGUUAAAUAGCCUCCUAUGGAUGUAGUCAAACAGUUUCCAAAUUCUCCUUGGAAAUCGAAUUUUGACAGGGCGACUCAAAAGGAUCUUCAAAGAAAGAGGGGAGCGGUUCCCAGAGUGGAAAUCUAUCUGCUUCAGCCUCUCAGGUUGAAAUCUAUCUGCUUUUUUCUGUUUCAUCUUGUACGCGAAGUUGACAGAUGCAAGGGGCUAUUAGGCAGAACACGAACUACAUGUAUCCUCAGUCGAUAUUUCUUCUGUCAGAUUCUUUUUAAAAAAAUUCUUAAUACUAGAAGAAAAGGGAUAAAAACACUAAUGAUUCAAAUCACGAGUUGCUAAAUCCGCCCGAUCUACUUGUAGUGCUGUUUCCUUUGCAUUUCAGUAUUUUUUGUUCUCUUUCCUGGGGAUCAAUAAUCUGAAGUUUCAGCGUUCGUUCGUCUCUCAUGUUUGUAUGUAUGAGCCUUAUCUCGCUCAAAACCGGCCUCUUUCAGGAUCAGAUCAUUUUUUGUCUUGAUUUCCAUUCACAUAGAGACAUUUACGCCAUUUUCAGAAACAUUUAUUCACCGAAAGCAUUUAUGAACUUUUCUCUUAUCAUGUCAUCACUGCUACUCAACUUCCUCCUGUGCCGUUAUGAUCACGUGCAGACUUAUCCUAGUCCCAUUUUCGAAGAGCAGACAUCACUUUUGAGUUGUUAGUAUGGCUCAUCGUUAAUGUCUUCUACAUAUAUCGUCCUAAUGUUGAUCAAUGUUCUACUUUUUGUAUGAUACCAUCUAUAAAAGAAACUAAUGAUAAGAAGUUGAAAAGAAAUUGCACCUCUAAACUUUUAUAACUUUACUAACGUCAAAAAUCCUAUGGACCGACUAAAAAAGUAAAAUACUGUAAUAUCAUGGAAAAUUGACUCAGAAAAGUUAGAAAUUUAGCUUUCUCCGUUUUGAUGAUCUGAAAUAUGAAACUGUGCUCAUAUGUUCCAUGUUGUUUGGUUUUAUAAUGGUUUUAUAAUGUUGUUUGGUUUCAUGUUCCUGCUGGGUUAUGUGGGAACCGAUUUUCUUAAAGGGUUCGAUUAUGAGCCCUCAAUGAAGACCAAUGUAUGGGCAAAAGAAGGCCCUCGGCGUCCAUUCUUCCAAUCCUCGCUGUGGCCAGCACGCAAAUAAAGGACUGUAACGAUCUAAUCUUCC
Molecule: long non-coding RNA, 1469 nt
Filed under: Spirodela polyrhiza (greater duckweed)
Lineage: Eukaryota; Viridiplantae; Streptophyta; Magnoliopsida; Alismatales; Araceae
Description: long non-coding RNA (SPOL_LNC001768)
Source: RNAcentral